RNAcentral lists this non-coding RNA (637 nucleotides) under Vigna radiata var. radiata (mung bean). RNAcentral describes it as "Eukaryotic large subunit ribosomal RNA". It matches the Rfam family "Eukaryotic large subunit ribosomal RNA", at positions 962 to 1455 of the family's 3401-position model. The record is from Rfam by way of RNAcentral. Lineage: Eukaryota; Viridiplantae; Streptophyta; Magnoliopsida; Fabales; Fabaceae.
CGAUCAGCGCGGACCGUACGACGAGUUCCGCGCCGGCUCGCAAUCCCAUCCCCGGUAGAGCGAAUGAUUAGAGGCUUCUCGGGGCCGCAACGGUCUCGACCUAUUCUCAAACUCCGAACGGGUGAGACCGGGGGCUUUCCCGGCGGACGAAGCCCGGCGGCCGUCCCCUCGGGGUCGGCCGCGCGACACCGACGGAUGAGAGCUGAGCCCAGUGGGUCCGUUCUGGUAAGCAGGACUGACGAUGCGGGGUGAACCGAACGCCGGGUUAAGGCGCCUAAAUCGCUACCGAAAUUACAGACACCCGUUCAAUGGUCGGACGCCGGCGUGCGACAGCAGGACGGUGGCCAUGGAAGUUGGCAUCCGCUAAGGAGUGUGUAACGACUCACCUGCCGAUGCCGGUGGUUCCGAAAAUGUCUGGCGCUAGGAGUAGCGUGCCGAUACCCGGCCGUCAGCGGUAGAGCACGGGCGACGUCGCCGCGCGAGCCGCUCCCCGGCGCCCGGUCAAACGGGCCGAGGAGCGCGCCAGCGGCGGGAACGCGCCUCGGGUAGACCCUGACGAGUAGGAGGGCGCGGCGGUGAGCGCAGAAGGGUUCAGGGCGCGAGCCCGCCCGGAGCCGCCGUCGGCGCAGAUCUUGGU